Molecule: ribosomal RNA, 858 nt
Filed under: Aposphaeria corallinolutea
Lineage: Eukaryota; Fungi; Ascomycota; Dothideomycetes; Pleosporales; Lophiostomataceae
Description: partial large subunit ribosomal RNA
Rfam family: Eukaryotic large subunit ribosomal RNA
Source: RNAcentral
GAGCAACAGGGAUUGCCCCAGUAACGGCGAGUGAAGCGGCAAUAGCUCAAAUUUGAAAUCUGGCUCUUUCAGGGUCCGAGUUGUAAUUUGCAGAGGGCGCUUUGGCGUCGGCAGCAGCCUAAGUUCCUUGGAACAGGUCAUCAUAGAGGGUGAGAAUCCCGUAUGUGGCUGCUUGUCUUCACCGUGUAAAGCCCCUUCGAUGAGUCGAGUUGUUUGGGAAUGCAGCUCUAAAUGGGAGGUAAAUUUCUUCUAAAGCUAAAUAUUGGCCAGAGACCGAUAGCGCACAAGUAGAGUGAUCGAAAGAUGAAAAGCACUUUGGAAAGAGAGUCAAAAAGCACGUGAAAUUGUUGAAAGGGAAGCGCUUGCAGCCAGACGUGCCCGCAGUUGCUCAUCCGGGGUUCUCCCCGGUGCACUCUUCUGUGGGCAGGCCAGCAUCAGUCCGGGCGGUUGGAGAAAGACCUGUGUCAUGUAGCUCUCUUCGGGGAGUGUUAUAGGGCAGGUGGAAUGCAACCAGCCUGGACUGAGGUCCGCGCAUCUGCUAGGAUGCUGGCGUAAUGGCUGUAAGCGGCCCGUCUUGAAACACGGACCAAGGAGUCUAACAUCUAUGCGAGUGUUUGGGUGUCAAGCCCGAGCGCGUAAUGAAAGUGAACGGAGGUGGGAACCCCUCGGGGUGCACCAUCGACCGAUCCUGAUGUCUUCGGAUGGAUUUGAGUAAGAGCAUAGCUGUUGGGACCCGAAAGAUGGUGAACUAUGCCUGAAUAGGGUGAAGCCAGAGGAAACUCUGGUGGAGGCUCGCAGCGGUUCUGACGUGCAAAUCGAUCGUCAAAUUUGGGCAUAGGGGCGAAAGACUAAUCGAAC